RNAcentral lists this ribosomal RNA (865 nucleotides) under Phoma herbarum. RNAcentral's name for it is "LSU rRNA". It matches the Rfam family "Eukaryotic large subunit ribosomal RNA", at positions 55 to 938 of the family's 3401-position model. Lineage: Eukaryota; Fungi; Ascomycota; Dothideomycetes; Pleosporales; Didymellaceae. The record is from RNAcentral.
GGAAAAGAAACCAACAGGGAUUGCCCUAGUAACGGCGAGUGAAGCGGCAACAGCUCAAAUUUGAAAUCUGGCGUCUUUGGCGUCCGAGUUGUAAUUUGCAGAGGGCGCUUUGGCAUUGGCAGCGGUCCAAGUUCCUUGGAACAGGACGUCACAGAGGGUGAGAAUCCCGUACGUGGUCGCUAGCCUUUACCGUGUAAAGCCCCUUCGACGAGUCGAGUUGUUUGGGAAUGCAGCUCUAAAUGGGAGGUAAAUUUCUUCUAAAGCUAAAUACUGGCCAGAGACCGAUAGCGCACAAGUAGAGUGAUCGAAAGAUGAAAAGCACUUUGGAAAGAGAGUUAAAAAGCACGUGAAAUUGUUGAAAGGGAAGCGCUUGCAGCCAGACUUGCCUGUAGUUGCUCAUCCGGGUUUUUACCCGGUGCACUCUUCUAUAGGCAGGCCAGCAUCAGUUUGGGCGGUUGGAUAAAGGUCUCUGUCAUGUACCUCCUCUCGGGGAGAACUUAUAGGGGAGACGACAUGCAACCAGCCUGGACUGAGGUCCGCGCAUCUGCUAGGAUGCUGGCGUAAUGGCUGUAAGCGGCCCGUCUUGAAACACGGACCAAGGAGUCUAACAUCUAUGCGAGUGUUUGGGUGUCAAGCCCGAACGCGUAAUGAAAGUGAACGGAGGUGGGAACCUUUCGGGGUGCACCAUCGACCGAUCCUGAUGUCUUCGGAUGGAUUUGAGUAAGAGCAUAGCUGUUGGGACCCGAAAGAUGGUGAACUAUGCUUGAAUAGGGUGAAGCCAGAGGAAACUCUGGUGGAGGCUCGCAGCGGUUCUGACGUGCAAAUCGAUCGUCAAAUUUGGGCAUAGGGGCGAAAGACUAAUCGA